This 200-nucleotide ribosomal RNA is filed under the name uncultured bacterium. Its description in RNAcentral is "partial 16S ribosomal RNA". It matches the Rfam family "Bacterial small subunit ribosomal RNA", at positions 8 to 217 of the family's 1533-position model. The record is from RNAcentral.
AGAGUUUGAUCCUGGCUCACAGUGAACGCUGGCGGCGUGGCUAAGGCAUGCAAGUCGCACGGGGUAGCAAUACCCAGUGGCGCAAGGGUGAGUAAUGGAUAGCUAACGUACCUUUAACCGGAGCAUAGCCAGUCGAAAGAUUGGGUAAUUCUCCAUAAAGUCGCGAGCAAGCAUUUGUUUGCGACCAAAGAUGAGGACCG